AACGCAGCGAAGGGCGAUAAAUAAUGUGAAUUGCAGAAUUCAGUGAAUCAUCGAGUCUUUGAACGCACAUUGCGCCCCCUGGUAUUCCGGGGGGGCAUGCCUGUCCGAGCGUCAUUGCUGCCCUCAAGCCCGGCUUGUGUGUUGGGUCCUAGUCCUUAGGGACAGGCCCGAAAGGCAAUGGCAGUACCGCGUCCGGUCCUCGAGCGUAUGGGGCUUUGUCACCCGCUCUGUAGGCCCGGCCGGCGCUCCGCCGACCAACCAAAAACUAUUUUUCAGGUUGACCUCGGAUCAGGUAGGGAUACCCGCUGAACUUAA
Molecule: ribosomal RNA, 315 nt
Filed under: uncultured fungus
Lineage: Eukaryota; Fungi
Description: eukaryotic LSU rRNA
Rfam family: 5.8S ribosomal RNA (bases 1-114)
Source: RNAcentral